This 74-nucleotide transfer RNA is filed under the name Aquisphaera giovannonii. RNAcentral describes it as "tRNA-Thr". It matches the Rfam family "tRNA". From Rfam's summary of the family: Transfer RNA (tRNA) molecules are approximately 80 nucleotides in length. Their secondary structure includes four short double-helical elements and three loops (D, anti-codon, and T loops). Further hydrogen bonds mediate the characteristic L-shaped molecular structure. tRNAs have two regions of fundamental functional importance: the anti-codon, which is responsible for specific mRNA codon recognition, and the 3' end, to which the tRNAs corresponding amino acid is attached (by aminoacyl-tRNA synthetases). tRNAs cope with the degeneracy of the genetic code in two manners: having more than one tRNA (with a specific anti-codon) for a particular amino acid; and 'wobble' base-pairing, i.e. permitting non-standard base-pairing at the 3rd anti-codon position. The record is from RNAcentral. Lineage: Bacteria; Pseudomonadati; Planctomycetota; Planctomycetia; Isosphaerales; Isosphaeraceae.
GCCACCUUAGCUCAGUCGGCAGAGCGCAGCUUUCGUAAAGCUGAAGUCCAGGGUUCGAGUCCCUGAGGUGGCUC